This 532-nucleotide ribosomal RNA is filed under the name Lepidostoma speculiferum. RNAcentral's name for it is "SSU rRNA". It matches the Rfam family "Eukaryotic small subunit ribosomal RNA", at positions 620 to 1119 of the family's 1831-position model. The record is from RNAcentral. Lineage: Eukaryota; Metazoa; Arthropoda; Insecta; Trichoptera; Lepidostomatidae.
UAAAAAGCUCGUAGUUGAAAUUGUGUCCUGCGGUGUCGGUCUACCGAAUGCGGUACGACCGUCACGUCUGCGGGGCUUCUCGCCGGUGCGUCCACCGCCGGCGUGUUGCGGUCGUCCUAACGGGUCGGCCGCGCACCGAGGCGGGCCGUCGCGGCUGUUUACUUUGAACAAAUUAGAGUGCUCAAAGCGGGCUAACACUUGCCUGAAUAUUGUACGCAUGGAAUAAUAGAAUAGGACCUCGGUUCUGUUUUGUUGGCUUUCUGAUACCAGAGGUAAUGAUUAAUAGGGACAACUGGGGGCAUUCGUAUUGCGACGUUAGAGGUGAAAUUCUUGGAUCGUCGCAAGACGGACUAAAGCGAAAGCAUUUGCCAAAGGUGUUUUCAUUAAUCAAGAACGAAAGUUAGAGGUUCGAAGGCGAUUAGAUACCGCUGUAGUUCUAACCAUAAAUGAUGCCAGCCAGCGAUCCGCCGAAGUUUCAUAAUUUUAACCCGGUGGGCAGCUCCCGGGAAACCAAAGCUUUCGGGCUCCGGGG